This 439-nucleotide ribosomal RNA is filed under the name uncultured bacterium. RNAcentral's name for it is "partial 16S ribosomal RNA". It matches the Rfam family "Bacterial small subunit ribosomal RNA", at positions 355 to 811 of the family's 1533-position model. The record is from RNAcentral.
UGGGGAAUAUUGGACAAUGGGGGCAACCCUGAUCCAGCAAUGCCGCGUGUGUGAAGAAGGUCUUCGGAUUGUAAAGCACUUUCGACGGGGACGAUGAUGACGGUACCCGUAGAAGAAGCCCCGGCUAACUUCGUGCCAGCAGCCGCGGUAAUACGAAGGGGGCUAGCGUUGCUCGGAAUGACUGGGCGUAAAGGGCGUGUAGGCGGUUUACACAGUCAGAUGUGAAAUCCCCGGGCUUAACCUGGGAGCUGCAUUUGAUACGUGUAGACUAGAGUGUGAGAGAGGGUUGUGGAAUUCCCAGUGUAGAGGUGAAAUUCGUAGAUAUUGGGAAGAACACCGGUGGCGAAGGCGGCAACCUGGCUCAUGACUGACGCUGAGGCGCGAAAGCGUGGGGAGCAAACAGGAUUAGAUACCCUGGUAGUCCACGCUGUAAACGAUG